CCUACGGGAGGCAGCAGUGGGGAAUAUUGGGCAAUGGGCGCAAGCCUGACCCAGCAACGCCGCGUGAAGGAAGAAGGCCCUCGGGUUGUAAACUUCUUUUGUCAGGGACGAAUUCUGACGGUACCUGACGAAUAAGCCACGACUAACUACGUGCCAGCAGCCGCGGUAAUA
RNAcentral lists this ribosomal RNA (171 nucleotides) under uncultured bacterium. RNAcentral describes it as "partial 16S ribosomal RNA". It matches the Rfam family "Bacterial small subunit ribosomal RNA", at positions 338 to 525 of the family's 1533-position model. The record is from RNAcentral.